CCGCCCCACGUUCGUACGCGGCCAGAGGCGGGGCCAGAAGUCGCCUAGAGGGCGGGGCUUAGGCGUUCGGGUUGGCAGCCCGGGCUAGCGUUCACUCUGAGCUCUGCCCAGGUCGCACGUCUAAGGAGUGAGGGCGGGGUGAACGCGGGGCGACCCCCAGAGCAGCUUGGGUGGCACGGUGUUGAGCAGGGAGGAUUAGGAUGUGCCAGGGCAGCCAAUGAACUCAAGGAUAGCGGCUUGCAGAGCCUCCUAGGGUGGCUCCUCCGAUCGGAGCUACCCGCCCUUCCAAGCUAAGUUACCCCUUUGGACCACCGACCCCAGGCCGGGCCACGGUACUUAGCAGUGGGUUUCCCCGAUUAAGAAGAGGGGGUGAUUUACAAGGCUUCAAAGGAAUGAGGCGGGUGGACGCAGAUGAGCUACGUUCUGAGCAAGGGUAUAGGACCAGUGAUCGCUUUGGCAAAAACAGGGCAUACACCUAUUCCCUUACCUGGGUCAGGUGUGCGCCCGCUGGGCGGGUCCCGUCAGGGAGGCGGACCAAGGAGAACGCUUUCCUCUUCCUGGACUGGAGUGAGGAGCUCGGGUACCGAGAGGAGCGGCAGGCACCAUGAAUAACCCGAUACCUUCUAAUCUGAAAUCAGAAGCAAAGAAGGCUGCCAAAAUAUUAAGAGAAUUCACAGAAAUAACUUCUAGAAAUGGACCUGAUAAGAUCAUUCCUGCCCACGUGAUUGCAAAAGCUAAAGGUCUUGCAGUUUUGUCUGUGAUUAAAGCCGGGUUUCUGGUCACAGCCAGGGGAGGCAGUGGGAUUGUCCUGGCGCGUCUUCCGGAUGGAAAAUGGUCUGCACCUUCAGCCAUUGGGAUAGCUGGGCUUGGUGGAGGAUUUGAAAUAGGAAUAGAGGUAUCCGAUUUGGUGAUAAUUCUGAAUUAUGACAGAGCAGUAGAAGCCUUUGCAAAGGGUGGAAACCUGACCCUUGGAGGGAAUUUUACUGUCGCAGUUGGGCCCCUAGGCAGGAACCUGGAAGGCAACGUGUCCCUGAGGAGCUCCGCAGCCGUCUUCACAUACUGCAAGUCCAGGGGCCUCUUUGCUGGUAUCUCCCUGGAAGGAAGCUGUCUGAUUGAGAGGAAAGAAACCAAUCGGAAAUUUUACUGUCAGGACAUUCGAGCUUACGACAUUUUAUUUGGAGAUGUUCCGCAGCCUGCUCAAGCAGAAGAUCUUUAUGAAAUUCUUAAUUCCUUCACUGAGAAAUAUGAAACUGAAGGGCAGCGCAUCAAUUUGAAGAAAGUAGCCCGGGAGCAGAGGAAGGCCAAAGAAUUACCUCCAAAACCAUCUUCAAGGCCCCAGCCAGCCCACCCACCUGUACAGCUGAAUGCUGGCUCCCAGGCUAGGUUCCAAGUGCUAUAUUGAAAAGAAGUGGGGAUAGUGGACAAACCUGGUUCAGCCCUAAUUUUAAUGAGGUUUCUUCAAGUUUCCUACAUUUGGAUGAUAUUGGCUAUAGGUUUGUCAUGUAGAACCUUGAUUAGGUUCAGGUAAUAGAAAUGAAUAUAAGCUAUAUCCUGAGCUUUCUAGCUAUCAUGAGAAAACUGGCAAUUUGAAUCAACCAAUAGAAGUGACAGCAUUAUACUCUUUCGAAGGACAACAGCCAGGAGACUUGAAUUUUCAAGCAGGAGACAGAAUCAUAGUUAUAUCAAAGACCGACUCAAAUUUUGAUUGGUGGGAAGGAAAACUUCGAGGUCAAACUGGAAUUUUCCCAGCCAACUAUGUAACUAUGAAUUAAAGUUCAUGCUAUUUUGUUACUUGAUAAUUACACAAAAAUAUUUCUACACAGACAGGAUUCACUGUUUACUGCAAACGUCAAGCACACCCUUGCUCUGCAAAUGUUUUUAUCCAGGUGUAAAAUAUUUUCUCUGCAUAUAAAUAAAUGGUUAAGUUAACAUGCA
RNA transcript from Mus musculus (house mouse), 1935 nucleotides. It is a transcript of the gene named Sh3 domain YSC-like 1, with no coding region annotated. The transcript is spliced from 11 exons. The record is from RefSeq and is marked validated. NCBI's taxonomy places the organism in Eukaryota, Metazoa, Chordata, Mammalia, Rodentia, Muridae.